GUGUAAGAGGCUAACAAGCUGAGUAUUUCCCUCUAGUAGUUUGAAGGGAUAUCAGAUCUGCUCUGAAUAAUUGAAAGUACAGUUUUUACUACAUUGUGUAGUGUCCUUGGAAAGUAAGAUUCUCCCUGCUAGGUGAACUGCUCAUCACUGCUCACAUCACUGCAAAUACCUCUCACUGUCACCCUUUCGGCGCUCAGCUGGUAUAGAGUCUGUCUAAUUAAGAGUCAGUUGGGAUUAACCCUGGAGGAGAAUAAGAAUAAACUCAGCAUGAAAGUUGUAGGCUUGCCUGCUAUGGACCAUUCUUCAGUUACUUCCUUCAAUUCUUCAGACACACGGAAAGAGACGGAGGGAGCUGUGAGCAAUAAAGCCUGUCGGGAGAAACAUGUUCAUCCCUGCAGUGCUUCUGGAUCACGUCACUGUCUGGGCCCCACCUUGGGCUCCCCAUCGCUGCUCACACCGCCGAUUUGUAACGUAAAAUGCGUUUGGAGGAAACCGGAGGAAGUACAGUAUGAUCAACUGCUGAGUGCUAGAGAAACUGCCAAGGGAAAAAGAGAGAGGAUUCAUGCAGGGGAGGUGAAUUUAGGAUCAUUGCGUGGAACUGUAUCUUAGGCCCCCUAGGUUGAGAAAGGAGCCCCUUUCCGAUUCUCAGGCACGUUUUAUGCUAUGUAUAAUAAUCCGCGAUGUAUAAUAAUACACGAUUUCCCCCAAAACAAGAUCUAAGCGGUGCUGCUUCUCUGGGCUCCACCCAGUCCUACAAGCAAUGAUGCUGAUAUCAGCUGCCUCACUGACCUGGCCUCCAAGCGCUCCCUCACCCCAUUCGCUGCUUGCUCUGCUGCAGGGCAGUCUUGCCACUAUUCUCACAGCUGAGAACACACCACUUCCCUCCAUCCACAGGGGUCCUCUCCCCUCAACUUCUCCUGACCCUCUAAUCAAAAAUGACGCCACCCCUCUGGUGGCUUUCUAUCCUUAUCUGAGCUUUCUUUUCCUGCACCAGGCAUUUCACCACCUCCCAGGGUACAUGUCCACUCCUCUGUUCGUUCCUGCUGCUCUAGUAUAUAAGCUCCAUGGAGACUGGGGCUUUGCUUUGGUCUCUCCUGUUACACUCAGCACCUGGGAUGGUGCCCCGUGUACAGUAGGCGCUCAGUAAAUACUCACGGAAUGGAUAAAUAAGCAAACUUGUAAGACUAAUGGCGGGCUACCUGUGUGUAUGUGGAUGAUAAGAAAGUUGGCUUGGUUAGAUGGAAGUAUCAAAUGAUGUUUGGCCAUAAAUUAAAAUUUAAUACAUCAGACAAUGAGCGAUUCCACAGAAGCCGUCACCUGGGAUGCCUGAGUAGCAAUCGAGGCAGGUGAUGAAGGAUUCAGGAGGAAAAGGAGGCAGAUUGGGUCUGAGCUACUUCCCCAAGAAAGAGUUAGUUAAGAAGAGCCUCUAGAAGGACAGGGCCUCAGUCACGGAUGCUAUGAAUCAUCCCAUAACUGACUGAUGUCCACUCCAUGGAGAGCGGAACAGCACAGCCUUUUUUUUCUGACCCACACAGUGACUUAAUAUUAGUACCUGAACGUGUGGUGGCAGGUACCUCACCGCAUGCAGAAACUAACCACCAGCUGCCACUCAGGACCAUUUACGAAACUGAGCUGGAGUUUUGCAUUAGCACUUGAGCUGACAUUUGAAUACUGACCUUUUUUUUUUCUUUCUUAAGAAUGAAAGACCAUUUAUCACUUUAGGACCACACCAUCUGCCUGACCCCUCUAAACUCUUUUGAUGGUUGUCCCUGUAAAGAAUUCCACCCACCAACACACGGCUGAAAGGUGGAGCUGAAGCAGAUGUUAUCAUCGGCCAACUCUGGCUUCAGCAGAGCACCUGAUACUUAGUAGGUGCCCAAUCUAUGUUUGGGGAAUUAAAUGGAAGUGAGCCAUCUCUGCAAGUGGUGACACUGGUGCUACCUGGUGUGUGGCCUAUCCAGGCACAUGGAAUUGAGGAGCUGAGUUCUUCUUUCCCAAUGGACGCUGGUCCAGAGCAAACUCUUGAUGCACACACACUCUUCUCUGUUUGGGAAAGCUGCCCUCACCUUUCCCCUUUAUAAAAAUCCCAAUCCCUGUCUCUUUCGGUCUCUCUGUCUCUGUCUCUGUCUCUCUGGCUCCCUCCCCCAUUCCUAAACCCCAACAGCAGCACCUGUACCUGAUUUUCAGGCUUCAUAGAGAGACCCCAGAGCAGCCUCCCCACGACUGAUGCUCCUGGAGAGACUCAGCAGACUUUCCAAAGGAGAAGAGCUAUAAUUUCCAUCCAAGUAAUUCUGACUCUCAGGCCCUCACUACAGCUUGUUCCAAAAGAGAGCAGAGAGAAGGCAGCUCCCUGGAGCUGCUAUAAUUGUAGAGCCUGAUGAAAGAUAAGACAGAGGAAGGAGAGCGCAGCAGGGAACCAUGGGGCUUCCUGAACCUCACCCGCUCAGAAGGGGCUUCUCCAAAAAAAAGAAAAUUGGCAACAUCCACGUUGAAAAGGGCAACGCUUACGUUCAGUUGGUGGUAAAUGGCAAGUGAUACUUGCAGUCUUGUUUUUAUUUUCCUGAAGCUCUAGGGCCUGUUGUAUCAGGCUAGAGGGCAGCUGAACUGUCCUUGAGGGUCUAAAAAUGAGAUGUAAUCAAGCUUGUAAUUUAAAACAAUAAAAAGGGAGUUCCUGUCGUGGCUCAGCGGUAAUGAACCCGAGUAGCAUCCAUGAGGAUUCAGGUUCCAUCCCUGGCCUCAAUCAGUGAGUCAGGGAUCCAGCGUUGCCCUGAGCUGUGUUUAGGUCGCAGAUGCGGCUUGAAUCCUGCGUUGCUGUGGCUGUGGUGUAGACUGGCAGAUACAGCUCCAAUUAGACCCCUAUCCUAGGAACCUCCAUAUGCCACCAGUGCAGUCCUUAAAAAAAAAAAAAAAAA
This 2912-nucleotide long non-coding RNA is filed under the name Sus scrofa (pig). Its description in RNAcentral is "lncRNA (ENSSSCG00015007407.1)". Lineage: Eukaryota; Metazoa; Chordata; Mammalia; Artiodactyla; Suidae. The record is from RNAcentral.